Small nucleolar RNA from Tachyglossus aculeatus (Australian echidna), 138 nucleotides. NCBI's taxonomy places the organism in Eukaryota, Metazoa, Chordata, Mammalia, Monotremata, Tachyglossidae. The record is from RefSeq and is a predicted model, not a curated record.
CCCCUCUCAGAGUUUCACCUGGAGAGUUUCUGGGACUCUACCAGUCUUGACUAAGGUAGGGAGAGUUAAGCAGAGGCCUAUCCAUUCCAUUCCUAGCUUGGCCAGUGGCUAGUUAGUGGAAGGCAAUCUGCUACUAGU